UACGUAUGGACCGAGCGUUGUCCGGAAUCACUGGGCGUAAAGGGUACGUAGGCGGUUUAGUAAGUUAGAAGUAAAAGGCAGUAGCUCAACUAAUGUAAGCUUUUAAAACUGCUAGACUUGAGAGCUUGAGGGGAAAGUGGAAUUCCUAGUGUAGCGGUGAAAUGCGCAGAUAUUAGGAGGAAUACCGGUGGCGAAGGCGACUUUCUGGCCUUUAACUGACGCUGAGGCACGAAAGCGUGGGUAGCAAACAGG
This 252-nucleotide ribosomal RNA is filed under the name uncultured bacterium. RNAcentral describes it as "partial 16S ribosomal RNA". It matches the Rfam family "Bacterial small subunit ribosomal RNA", at positions 524 to 776 of the family's 1533-position model. The record is from RNAcentral.